UACGAAGGGGGCUAGCGUUGCUCGGAAUUACUGGGCGUAAAGCGCACGUAGGCGGACAGAGAAGUCAGAGGUGAAAUCCCAGGGCUCAACCUUGGAACUGCCUUUGAAACUUUUUGUCUUGAGGUCGAGAGAGGUGAGUGGAAUUCCGAGUGUAGAGGUGAAAUUCGUAGAUAUUCGGAGGAACACCAGUGGCGAAGGCGGCUCACUGGCACGAUACUGACGCUGAGGUGCGAAAGCGUGGGGAGCAAACAGG
This 253-nucleotide ribosomal RNA is filed under the name uncultured bacterium. RNAcentral's name for it is "partial 16S ribosomal RNA". It matches the Rfam family "Bacterial small subunit ribosomal RNA", at positions 524 to 776 of the family's 1533-position model. The record is from RNAcentral.